This 324-nucleotide ribosomal RNA is filed under the name uncultured bacterium. Its description in RNAcentral is "bacterial SSU rRNA". It matches the Rfam family "Bacterial small subunit ribosomal RNA", at positions 28 to 334 of the family's 1533-position model. The record is from RNAcentral.
GAUGAACGCUGGCGGCGUGCCUAACACAUGCAAGUCGAGCGAAGCAUUUUAAAGGAAGUUUUCGGAUGGAAUUUGAAAUGACUGAGCGGCGACGGGUGAGUAACGCGUGGGUAACCUGCCUCAUACAGGGGGAUAACAGUUAGAAAUGACUGCUAAUACCGCAUAAGCGCACAGUACCACAUGGUACGGUGUGAAAAAACUCCGGUGGUAUGAGAUGGACCCGCGUCUGAUUAGCUGGUUGGUGGGGUAACGGCCCACCAAGGCGACGAUCAGUAGCCGACCUGAGAGGGUGAUCGGCCACAUUGGGACUGAGACACGGCCCAA